RNAcentral lists this ribosomal RNA (255 nucleotides) under uncultured bacterium. RNAcentral describes it as "partial 16S ribosomal RNA". It matches the Rfam family "Bacterial small subunit ribosomal RNA", at positions 524 to 776 of the family's 1533-position model. The record is from RNAcentral.
UACGAAGGGGGCUAGCGUUGCUCGGAAUCACUGGGCGUAAAGCGCACGUAGGCGGGUUCUUAAGUCAGGGGUGAAAUCCUGGAGCUCAACUCCAGAACUGCCUUUGAUACUGGGAAUCUCGAGUCCGGUGGAGAGGUGAGUGGAACUGCGAGUGUAGAGGUGAAAUUCGUAGAUAUUCGCAAGAACACCAGUGGCGAAGGCGGCUCACUGGCCCGGUACUGACGCUGAGGUGCGAAAGCGUGGGGAGCAAACAGG